GCGAGCGUGUUGGAAUUGGUAGACAAGCCGGUCUCAGAAGCCGGUGCCCGCAAGGGUGUGGAGGUUCAAGUCCUCUCGCUCGCACCA
This 87-nucleotide transfer RNA is filed under the name Pseudomonadota bacterium. RNAcentral describes it as "Proteobacteria bacterium tRNA-Leu". It matches the Rfam family "tRNA". Rfam says of the family: Transfer RNA (tRNA) molecules are approximately 80 nucleotides in length. Their secondary structure includes four short double-helical elements and three loops (D, anti-codon, and T loops). Lineage: Bacteria; Pseudomonadati; Pseudomonadota. RNAcentral also lists the same sequence under 1 other name. The record is from RNAcentral.